This 75-nucleotide non-coding RNA is filed under the name Nicotiana attenuata. The record is from RNAcentral. Lineage: Eukaryota; Viridiplantae; Streptophyta; Magnoliopsida; Solanales; Solanaceae.
GCUGAGCCCAGUAACAUGGGCUUGUAACCCAAGUGGGGGAAACAAUGUGAUGAAAUGUUGGGCUGCAUCAUAUGG